AAUUUUCAUAUAAUGAUUGAGUUAAGAAGCCUUUCUUCUUUUGACGCGAGGAAACAAAGCUGUUUUUAUGUGUUUUAUUGUUGAAACAAUUACUCGAUUUCAAUUUUUUACGUUUAUUUUAUCUAUUUUCAGUAAUGUGUAAAAUAAGAAUUGUGAAAAUAUAUUAAAUUGUUUAAAAAAUAUAAAAUAAUGACAAAGAUUUCUGAAAAAACUGUGCACGAUAGCUCCAAAUAGCUUGUGAUUAAUUAUUAUUUUUUAUUUAUUUUGGCGUCUUUAUAUAUGUCUACCUUUUCUUUGGUAACAAAGGGGAAAUCUAAACCCCGGACUGGCUAAACAUAUGUGUCGGAUUCACCACUGACGGAGUGUUCGGCGCUAACGAGCUGCAUGGAUCCGUCUAGCGACUCCCAUUGACCAAAACCCCUCGGACCCACCUCAGUCGGGAGAGGGCUGGAUGAUGACAGACAUCGACUUCACGCUCGCUCUCGUGCUUGGAGCGUAACUCCUUGAUGUAGCCAACUUUUCAAGUUAGGGGACGAGCUUAAAGGGAUCCAGCCGAAAUAUGUCAGCUAUCAAGGGCCUUCAUUUAUCCCCACAGGGCAACGGUUAUAUCUGAUCCCUUUCACUGGGACAAGUCCUAGUGCUCACACCCGGGAGGUACUUCUAUCCGGGCCCAGUUAGAGUGGUAGGACUGCCCACCAAUUAGCUUAAUAAAAAACUGAAAAAUAGGCAGAGCCAGGCACUCAAGUACCGUAUCGUUCCUGAACUACAGUUCACAAGGUCCAUCCAAACCCGUGAACUAUUGACCCAUAUAAUCAGGCGAGCUGUUGGGCGACAAUACCUCGAAGACAUAUCUAACAAAUGUAUUCGAAUUCACGCUUCUCGUCCUCAGCUAAUACUGAGAUUGAGAGAGCUAUGAGUUCACCCGAUUGAUCAUAACGCAGAUCUCGCAUACGCCAGCAAUCAUUGAGCUAUUGCUCUCCUGACCAGCGUUGCUGGUCCAUCACACCUUAACUGGAGAAUUCCUCUCUAGUGAGGAACUUUUUAGGUCGGCUAUAUAUACCUCAUCCAUCCAUUUUUGCUGCAAUUGCUCUGCUAAUGACUAACGCCUCCCCAAUUGAAGCAACAGCAACUCCGAUUUACAAAAUCCGGGCAUCGCUGCUGCACAUUAGGGCCAGGCACUUGGGCACUUUUUCAGGAGCUCCACACGAGCUAGUGUUCAGUCUAUUUGCAUCUUUUCAUCCAGGGUGAGUUUAACUCCCAUAGCUGCAGUGCGCUGCACGAUAACAGCACCCACGCCACGGUAGAAAAAAACCUUCUUUGCUUACUUUAAUUUUGGUGCUGCGAAGCAUCUUGAUGAAGCGGCGACAAUAAUUGUCAUCUCAGGGAUUGACUCGUUGAACUCGGCUAUGCGUAGUGUAUACACCAGCGGCAAUUUCUUUGCCUGGACGACUUCCAGAAGGAUGCUCUUAUUCAUGGCUCUGUGGAGAUACAGGUCAGGCAUUCCACAUCCAACUGUGGGAACGCGCCUCGUUUGUUCUCCUCAUUACUUCCGUAUAGAACAGCGCAUCCCUAAAGAUGAUGAUUGAGACCAUCGACGUCCGAGGAAUGUGCUUCCUCAACUCUUUCGCAGAGAGAUCAGGCUUUUUUUGCCCGAUAUUUCCUACGUUAACCUCUUUAGAAGAGGAAGAAGAGGCGCUAACAAUAGCUGACUUUUUCCCCUUCUUUUUCUUCUUUAGGUUAUCAUCAGUUUUCUAGUCGAAACUUGUUGGCCCCGAAGGAACAAUAAAUUUAAAGCCAGAAACGUCCUCUUAUUUACAAUGUUAGCGAAGGUUAGCACUCACGAACACAGGAUCGACCCAAACUGACCCACACUGAGAUACCACUACGGUUGAAGAGGCCCUGAGUAGGCAUCGCUCCUCUUCUUUCGCCUCUACCUUUUCAGCCUUGGACCAGCUGAAACAUAUACUGCUCUAACCGGCCGAGCCUCAUGUUAAAGAACUUUAUGGCCGCCAUAAAGUGUGAUGUCCUUUCUGAUAUUAGAGGAGUGAGCCUGAUUCCGUUUGAUCCUUGUUAGCCACGCAUCUGCCAUCGUAACCAAGUCGGCGGACGUGGCGCGCUCAAUUGCCUCCAACUAGUGGUCACGCCGUUAAUCGGGAGUGAAUAUUGUCGACGAGAUUCCAAUGCGCGGACGCGGCGCAUGUCCUCUUUCUUGUCCGAUGUCUACAAUUCUAUAAGUUAGGGCGAAGUCGUUUCACCCUAAACCACGCCAUUAGGAUCUCAACGAUCCUGUUCUCAGUGUUGAAACUUCCGACAAAGGGGACGGGGAUCUGAAGAGGUUUUGACCCAUUUAAUCGAGGUUGACCUCGGGCCCACUUCCUAUGAAUUUCAGCUGGGGCGAGGCAGAAAUCGCCCGGAAGUUUGAUUUUCAUCUCUUUCCGGUUUUCAGUGUUGUUCGGCUGCAUGAAAUGCUAGACAUCGACGGAUGACUCGGCCCGGGGAACCUCAUUAUUGUUGACAUCGUCACCACCGAUUCCACCCCCUAUCCUUAAUAGACCACUAGUAUUGGACAAUUACUCUCAAGGAGGAACUCAUGUGAACAUCAGCUCGUGUAAAAUCCGGGUGCAUGCGGUUAAGCACAUACCUGAGGAUAAUCUAUGAGCGGCACGCGGAUCACAAAGGGCUACGGUAAGAGUGACCGGACAUCCAAAUCCAAGAAGCCACACAAAUAUGUUAUUCUAACGCACCGCCUCGGAGAUCCCAAUUACAUUUAUGAACGAUGCAGCAAGACAUCGAUAUGCGCUGUUUCUAGGCUCGUAAACAGUCAAGUAUCAAUGAACACAGACAAGCUGUGAUCAUUGACAACAUGUGGGAUUUAACGGUGGCGACGAUCUGCGUGUCAAUCCGGCAGAGAGCACCCGAUCAUCCCCGCACACGCAUAAACAAUGAACGUGGAUACAUCAAGAAGGCUUCUAGGAGCGCGAUACGCAGGCUUAGAGCCAUACCAUCAAUUUCUUAUAGAGGUUGUCUUCUCACGGCCCAGACAAUGAAGCCAAGGUCCCCGAUUCCCUUCCGAAGAAGAGAAUUACGGUGUAGUGGCUCAAGCAUUUCGGAUUUGCUAAUACUCUUAUCUGGAGGCUCCAGAAGCUUUAAAUCCUUGAGUAUAUGUCUAUCUAAGACAUGAAUUUUUUAAAUUUAUGAAAUUUUAAAAACAAAUAUUUUUUAUUGCGAUAAAAAGAUUAAUAAAUUUAAAUAAAAAUA
Long non-coding RNA from Solenopsis invicta (red fire ant), 3258 nucleotides. RefSeq lists it as uncharacterized. The transcript has 2 exons. The record is from RefSeq and is a predicted model, not a curated record. Lineage: Eukaryota; Metazoa; Arthropoda; Insecta; Hymenoptera; Formicidae.